Molecule: ribosomal RNA, 506 nt
Filed under: uncultured bacterium
Lineage: Bacteria
Description: partial 16S ribosomal RNA
Rfam family: Bacterial small subunit ribosomal RNA
Source: RNAcentral
AUUGAACGCUGGCGGUAGGCCUAACACAUGCAAGUCGAACGGCAGCACAGGAGAGCUUGCUCUCUGGGUGGCGAGUGGCGGACGGGUGAGGAAUACAUCGGAAUCUACUUUUUCGUGGGGGAUAACGUAGGGAAACUUACGCUAAUACCGCAUACGACCUACGGGUGAAAGCAGGGGACCUUCGGGCCUUGCGCGAUUGAAUGAGCCGAUGUCGGAUUAGCUAGUUGGCGGGGUAAAGGCCCACCAAGGCGACGAUCCGUAGCUGGUCUGAGAGGAGGAUCGGCCACACUGGAACUGAGACACGGUCCAGACUCCUACGGGAGGCAGCAGUGGGGAAUAUUGGACAAUGGGCGCAAGCCUGAUCCAGCCAUACCGCGUGGGUGAAGAAGGCCUUCGGGUUGUAAAGCCCUUUUGUUGGGAAAGAAAUCCAGCUGGCUAAUACCCGGUUGGGAUGGCGGUACCCAAAGAAUAAGCACCGGCUAACUUCGUGCCAGCAGCCGCGGUAA